RNAcentral lists this ribosomal RNA (398 nucleotides) under uncultured bacterium. RNAcentral describes it as "bacterial SSU rRNA". It matches the Rfam family "Bacterial small subunit ribosomal RNA", at positions 28 to 429 of the family's 1533-position model. The record is from RNAcentral.
GACGAACGCUGGCGGCGUGCUUAACACAUGCAAGUCGAGCGGUAAGGCCCUUUCGGGGGUACGACGAGCGGCGAACGGGUGAGUAACACGUGGGUGACCUGCCCUCAGCUCUGGGAUAAGCCUGGGAAACCGGGUCUAAUACCGGAUAUGACUCCAUGACGCAUGUUGUGGGGUGGAAAGCCUUGUGCGGCUGAGGAUGGGCCCGCGGCCUAUCAGCUUGUUGGUGGGGUGAGGCCUACCAAGGCGACGACGGGUAGCCGGCCUGAGAGGGCGACCGGCCACACUGGGACUGAGACACGGCCCAGACUCCUACGGGAGGCAGCAGUGGGGAAUCUUGCGCAAUGGGCGAAAGCCUGACGCAGCGACGCCGCGUGAGGGAUGACGGCCUCGGUCGUAAC